GUGCCAGCAGCCGCGGUAAUACGGAGGAUCCAAGCGUUAUCCGGAUUUAUUGGGUUUAAAGGGUGCGUAGGCGGUUUAUUAAGUCAGUGGUGAAAGCCCGGAGCUCAGCUUCGGAACUGCCAUUGAAACUGAUAGACUUGAGUGUACAUGAAGUGGGCGGAAUGAGACAAGUAGCGGUGAAAUGCAUAGAUAUGUCUCANAACACCGAUAGCGAAGGCAGCUCACUAAAAUACAACUGACGCUGAGGCACGAAAGCGUGGGGAUCAAACAGGAUUAGAUACCCUGGUAGUCCACGCCCUAAACGAUGAUUACUCGCUGUUAGCGAUAGACAGUUAGCGGCUAAGCGAAAGCGUUAAGUAAUCCACCUGGGGAGUACGGUCGCAAGAUUGAAACUCAAAGGAAUUGACGGGGGCCCGCACAAGCGGAGGAGCAUGUGGUUUAAUUCGAUGAUACGCGAGGAACCUUACCCGGGCUUGAAAGUUAGUGAAGGAUUUAGAAAUAAGUUCGUCCGCAAGGACACGAAACUAGGUGCUGCAUGGCUGUCGUCAGCUCGUGCCGUGAGGUGUUGGGUUAAGUCCCGCAACGAGCGCAACCCCUAUGUUUAGUUGCCAGCACGUUAUGGUGGGAACUCUAAACAGACUGCCUGUGCAAACAGUGAGGAAGGUGGGGACGACGUCAAGUCAUCAUGGCCCUUACGUCCGGGGCUACACACGUGCUACAAUGGACGAUACAACGGACAGCUACUUGGUAACAAGAUGCAAAUCUCCCCAAAAGUCGUUUCACAGU
Molecule: ribosomal RNA, 786 nt
Filed under: uncultured Bacteroidota bacterium
Lineage: Bacteria; Pseudomonadati; Bacteroidota
Description: bacterial SSU rRNA
Rfam family: Bacterial small subunit ribosomal RNA
Source: RNAcentral